Molecule: long non-coding RNA, 1500 nt
Organism: Diachasmimorpha longicaudata
Lineage: Eukaryota; Metazoa; Arthropoda; Insecta; Hymenoptera; Braconidae
Exons: 4
Source: RefSeq, a predicted model, not a curated record
UUUAUCGGGACAAACAACGCGACAAUUAUUUUCGAACUGUCGUUCACUGUAGGAAGAGCAUAAAAGUUUUUAACACGUGGACAAAUGAUUAGGCCCCGGAAAUACCUGGAAAUAAUUUUCCACCAGCGUUAAGUCAAGGCAUAAAUGUUAAACCUAAACUUGUUGUCUUCCAUCGCUUUCUUUGAGGUGCUGUGUUACUCGGCGCUUUUUAUUUUUUCUCUCGCGUCUGGAGCGGUGAGUGGCAAUAGAACGUGACAAGUUAAUUGGUACGAGACUGGGUGGGGUGUGGCAGGAUUUUACGUUCACCACCGGAAGUCCUGUGUCUGCUACCAAUAACUGUCAUGAGGCGAUAGCCGCGGAUCUUGCAAGUGGUGCUUCAUAUCAACUGCCAUGACAUAUCGCGGUUCCUUUAGUGCUGUCAUUCGAAAAAAUAGGGGAGAAGUGGGGUAAUAAAAAGUGUCAAUAUGUAGCUGACAACGCGACAAUUGAGGCUGAGGGAGACAAUGGGCCCCGAGUACCGGUGAAUCCAGUCAGCUCUGGUCAAUACAACUCUGCCUUUUGCUCGGGGGAUAAAACUGCGCCCUCGAGCAUUUCCACUUCUAGAAUCCCCCCUAUUUUUUUCUUAAUUUCCUUCCUUUUCCAGUCUUUUCACUCGUUUUCUCGCAGUAUCCCAUAUUCUGUAUGUGUGGAGAAAAUACAGUUGAACUCGGGGAUCUUCGAUCGAAGGGUUCACUCGACUCCAGGAGAAGACGCGAUGAUAUACAGUGACAGUUCUGAGGGAUGAUUGAAGGGUUUCCCAACAUAUGAAGACCACAUCGUCCGUGAUUCAAUUCAUUAGGAUAUUUGUGUCCUGUUCUACCCCUGAUUGGACCACCAGCGGCUGCAAAACAAUGUCGACCCUCGAUCUUACUUUCCAUCCCCUCAAUUCGUUAUGCUCUCGAUUACGGUCCACUGUGAGGGCCGUUAUGUCGCCCGGUGGUAAAUAACCGAGGAGUUGGGUUGCGCGUGCCCUAAGGGGUGAAUUACAAUUUCCACUUGGAAGUACCAUAUGUUUGUAAACCACCAGGCAUUGAGUGUACCUUCUUGUUUGGUUAUGCUGGAGCUUCUUGGAGGAGAGGGCGUGUCUGUGAGACUGUGUGGCGCCACAAGACGCACUGCCAUUGUAGCUUGCAACUUACCGAAGGGAAAACCCGUUGGCUUACUCCCAUUCUCCACGUGACUUAUCAACAAUUCAUUUUUUUCACUCCAUCUUUAUCACAUCCGCUUCGAUCUAUUAUUUUUCAUCGCGAAUUUUGCACGAAAAAACGCGCCAUAAAUUGCGGAACUUGAGUUCACUUGCCGAUUGUCAAAAUCACGGAGAACUUGUUAAGUCGCAGGGUGUCAAUCAUGACAGCACUCGACAUUGUCAUCAUCCCGUGUACGUGAACAUCGCGUGUUAAUUAUUAACGUGGGCUGUCUGGCACUCAGAUGAUUGCCAUCGAUUGCUAUUCACUUUUUCAU